RNAcentral lists this ribosomal RNA (283 nucleotides) under Salmonella enterica subsp. enterica serovar Oranienburg. RNAcentral's name for it is "partial 23S ribosomal RNA". It matches the Rfam family "Bacterial large subunit ribosomal RNA", at positions 346 to 631 of the family's 2925-position model. Lineage: Bacteria; Pseudomonadati; Pseudomonadota; Gammaproteobacteria; Enterobacterales; Enterobacteriaceae. The record is from RNAcentral. RNAcentral also lists the same sequence under 1 other name.
AAAGGCGCGCGAUACAGGGUGACAGCCCCGUACACAAAAGCGCAUGUGCUGUGAGCUCGAUGAGUAGGGCGGGACACGUGGUAUCCUGUCUGAAUAUGGGGGGACCAUCCUCCAAGGCUAAAUACUCCUGACUGACCGAUAGUGAACCAGUACCGUGAGGGAAAGGCGAAAAGAACCCCGGCGAGGGGAGUGAAAAAGAACCUGAAACCGUGUACGUACAAGCAGUGGGAGCACCCUUUGGGGUGUGACUGCGUACCUUUUGUAUAAUGGGUCAGCGACUUAU